AGAGUUUGAUCAUGGCUCAGGAUGAACGCUGGCGGCGUGCCUAAUACAUGCAAGUCGAGCGGUAAGGCUUUCACUCUGUAUUUAAUGAGUUGAAUAUAGUGUGAAAGUACACGAGCGGCGGACGGCUGAGUAACGCGUAGGAACGUACCCCAAAGUGAGGGAUAAGCACCGGAAACGGUGUCUAAUACCGCAUGUGAUCUUCGGAUUAAAGCUUUAUGCGCCUUGGGAGCGGCCUGCGUAAGAUUAGUUUGUUGGUGAGGUAAUGGCUCACCAAGACUACGAUCUUUAGCUGGUCUGAGAGGAUGAUCAGCCAGACUGGGACUGAGACACGGCCCAGACUCCUACGGGAGGCAGCAGUAGGGAAUUUCCACAAUGGACGAAAGUCUGAUGGAGCAACGCCGCGUGCAGGAUGAAGGCCUUCGGGUUGUAAACUGCUUUUAUCUGUGACGAUUAUGACGGUAGCAGAUGAAUAAGGAUCGGCUAACUCCGUG
This 491-nucleotide ribosomal RNA is filed under the name uncultured bacterium. RNAcentral describes it as "bacterial SSU rRNA". It matches the Rfam family "Bacterial small subunit ribosomal RNA", at positions 8 to 507 of the family's 1533-position model. The record is from RNAcentral.